GGCCUCGGAGCUGGUUGCUGCUCACAGGCAGAGAAACGCUGAAGUGUUCCUGAAAACUCGUCAAUUACAGGAAAAGCUGCAUGACUGCAUCUUUAGAGGAGAUGGUUUCGCUGGUUCCAAGGAUUCUGUUAAUGAGAAAACUCCACAGGCCAGCAUUCUGUAAGCUGGCUCCAGCAGCCCAGUUGACAGUGGCUGAGGCCAGUUCCUGAUCAUCCUGAGGAACACCAGCACGUAAGUCAGAAGCCACACUACCUGUGAUUUUGGCCAAGUCAUUUUAUCUUUCUGUGCCUAUAUGUCAUCUGUCAAUGGGGAUAAUAAAAGCACCUGUCUAGAGUUGUUAUGAGGAUUACAUGAACAGUACCUGCUACAUAGGAAGUGCUAUCCAGGUAUUUGUUGUAAUUAUUUCUUACUUUGCUUACCUCCCUGGAAUUAGCCUGUUCUGCUGAUUUAUUCAUUUCCACAGCGAUUCUUUGAUAAAUUCAUGUGUUUAAUUUUUUUCUGGCCCCAGCUGUUGGAUACAGUCAGGAAAUAGGCAAGAAAUGCCAGCUCCGGAAGCAGAGGGAGAAUAAGAUAGUUAUUCUCUAGUGCCACCCAGGAAUAUGCCACUGAAGUGUUAAUGACAGACUCUUCCCUCUACAGGAGAGUUGUGCUAAACUUUGAUGUUUUGUGGUCUUCUGGGGAUUCUGGAAGUAAGGGACCUGAGGUGACUUAACAACAACUGCUGUAUGACAGGAUCAGGAUAAGUGAGUUGUGAAUGCUUAGCAGAGUCUGAUUAAGUUCAGAGUGAAGCUGGAGCA
Molecule: long non-coding RNA, 797 nt
Filed under: Homo sapiens (human)
Lineage: Eukaryota; Metazoa; Chordata; Mammalia; Primates; Hominidae
Description: PREDICTED lncRNA (TCONS_00223704)
Source: RNAcentral